RNAcentral lists this ribosomal RNA (250 nucleotides) under uncultured bacterium. RNAcentral describes it as "partial 16S ribosomal RNA". It matches the Rfam family "Bacterial small subunit ribosomal RNA", at positions 524 to 773 of the family's 1533-position model. The record is from RNAcentral.
UACGUAGGUGGCAAGCGUUAUCCGGAUUUAUUGGGCGUAAAGCGAGCGCAGGCGGUUUUUUAAGUCUGAUGUGAAAGCCCUCGGCUUAACCGAGGAAGUGCAUCGGAAACUGGGAAACUUGAAUGCUGAAGAGGACAGUGGAACUCCAUGUGUAGCGGUGAAAUGCGUAGAUAUAUGGAAGAACACCAGUGGCGAAGGCGGCUGUCUGGUCAGUUAUUGACGCUGAGGCUCGAAAGCAUGGGUAGCGAAC